RNAcentral lists this ribosomal RNA (482 nucleotides) under uncultured bacterium. RNAcentral describes it as "partial 16S ribosomal RNA". It matches the Rfam family "Bacterial small subunit ribosomal RNA", at positions 30 to 507 of the family's 1533-position model. The record is from RNAcentral.
AUUGAACGCUGGCGGCAUGCCUUACACAUGCAAGUCGAACGGUAACAGGUCUUCGGAUGCUGACGAGUGGCGAACGGGUGAGUAAUACAUCGGAACGUGCCCGAUCGUGGGGGAUAACGAAGCGAAAGCUUUGCUAAUACCGCAUACGAUCUACGGAUGAAAGCAGGGGACCGCAAGGCCUUGAGCGAACGGAGCGGCCGAUGGCAGAUUAGGUAGUUGGUGGGAUAAAAGCUUACCAAGCCGACGAUCUGUAGCUGGUCUGAGAGGACGACCAGCCACACUGUGACUGAGACACGGCCCAGACUCCUACGGGAGGCAGCAGUGGGGAAUUUUGGACAAUGGGCGAAAGCCUGAUCCAGCCAUGCCGCGUGCAGGAUGAAGGCCUUCGGGUUGUAAACUGCUUUUGUACGGAACGAAAAGACUCUGGUUAAUACCUGGGGUCCAUGACGGUACCGUAAGAAUAAGCACCGGCUAACUACGUG